UACGUAGGGGGCAAGCGUUGUCCGGAAUCAUUGGGCGUAAAGCGCGCGUAGGCGGCUCGAUCAGUCUGUCGUGAAAGUCAAAGGCUCAACCUUUGAAUGCCGAUGGAUACUGUCGAGCUAGAGUCCGGAAGAGGCGGGUGGAAUUCCUGGUGUAGCGGUGGAAUGCGCAGAUAUCAGGAGGAACACCAACGGCGAAGGCAGCCCGCUGGGACGGUACUGACGCUAAGGCGCGAAAGCGUGGGGAGCGAACAGG
Molecule: ribosomal RNA, 253 nt
Filed under: uncultured bacterium
Lineage: Bacteria
Description: partial 16S ribosomal RNA
Rfam family: Bacterial small subunit ribosomal RNA
Source: RNAcentral